Molecule: transfer RNA, 73 nt
Filed under: Fistulifera saprophila
Lineage: Eukaryota; Bacillariophyta; Bacillariophyceae; Naviculales; Stauroneidaceae
Description: tRNA-Phe
Rfam family: tRNA
About the family: Transfer RNA (tRNA) molecules are approximately 80 nucleotides in length. Their secondary structure includes four short double-helical elements and three loops (D, anti-codon, and T loops).
Source: RNAcentral
GUUUAGAUAGCUCAGUCGGUAGAGCAAAGGACUGAAAAUCCUUGUGUCGGCAGUUCGAACCUGCCUCUAGACA